GAACAGCUAGAGUUUGAUCCUGGCUCAGGAUGAACGCUGGCGGCGUGCUUAACACAUGCAAGUCGAACGGGGAAUGCUUUGACAGAGACUUCGGUUGAAGUCGUUGUAUUCCUAGUGGCGGACGGGUGAGUAACGCGUGGGUAACCUGCCCCACACAGGGGGAUAACAACCAGAAAUGGCUGCUAAUACCGCAUAAGCGCACAGGGCCGCAUGGCCCAGUGUGAAAAACUCCGGUGGUGUGGGAUGGGCCCGCGUUGGAUUAGCCAGUUGGCAGGGUAACGGCCUACCAAAGCGACGAUCCAUAGCCGGCCUGAGAGGGUGAACGGCCACAUUGGGACUGAGACACGGCCCAGACUCCUACGGGAGGCAGCAGUGGGGAAUAUUGCACAAUGGGGGAAACCCUGAUGCAGCGACGCCGCGUGAAGGAAGAAGUAUCUCGGUAUGUAAACUUCUAUCAGCAGGGAAGAAAGUGACGGUACCUGACUAAGAAGCCCCGGCUAACUACGUGCC
Molecule: ribosomal RNA, 510 nt
Filed under: uncultured bacterium
Lineage: Bacteria
Description: bacterial SSU rRNA
Rfam family: Bacterial small subunit ribosomal RNA
Source: RNAcentral